This 452-nucleotide ribosomal RNA is filed under the name Fusarium solani. RNAcentral describes it as "eukaryotic LSU rRNA". The stretch from base 119 to 272 matches the Rfam family "5.8S ribosomal RNA". The record is from RNAcentral. Lineage: Eukaryota; Fungi; Ascomycota; Sordariomycetes; Hypocreales; Nectriaceae.
GAUGCCAAUUGUUGCCUCGGCGGAUCAGCCCGCUCCCGGUAAAACGGGACGGCCCGCCAGAGGACCCCUAAACUCUGUUUCUAUAUGUAACUUCUGAGUAAAACCAUAAAUAAAUCAAAACUUUCAACAACGGAUCUCUUGGUUCUGGCAUCGAUGAAGAACGCAGCAAAAUGCGAUAAGUAAUGUGAAUUGCAGAAUUCAGUGAAUCAUCGAAUCUUUGAACGCACAUUGCGCCCGCCAGUAUUCUGGCGGGCAUGCCUGUUCGAGCGUCAUUUCAACCCUCAAGCCCCCGGGUUUGGUGUUGGGGAUCGGCGAGCCCUUGCGGCAAGCCGGCCCCGAAAUCUAGUGGCGGUCUCGCUGCAGCUUCCAUUGCGUAGUAGUAAAACCCUCGCAACUGGUACGCGGCGCGGCCAAGCCGUUAAACCCCCAACUUCUGAAUGUUGACCUCGGAU